RNAcentral lists this ribosomal RNA (507 nucleotides) under uncultured bacterium. Its description in RNAcentral is "bacterial SSU rRNA". It matches the Rfam family "Bacterial small subunit ribosomal RNA", at positions 791 to 1322 of the family's 1533-position model. The record is from RNAcentral.
UAGUCCACGCCGUAAACGAUGAGUGCUAGACGUUGGAGGGUUUUCCUUCAGUGUUGAAGCUAACGCAUGAAGCACUCCGCCUGAGUAGUACGGUCGCAAGAUUAAAACUUAAAGGAAUUGACGGGGGCCCGCACAAGCGGUGGAGCAUGCGGUUUAAUUCGAAGCAACGCGCAGAACCUUACCAACCCUUGACAUCCUGUGCUACUUCCAGAGAUGGAACGUUCCCUUCGGGGACGCAGUGACAGGUGCUGCAUGGCUGUCGUCAGCUCGUGUCGUGAGAUGUUCGGUUAAGUCCGGCAACGAGCGCAACCCACAUCUUUAGUUGCCAGCAGUUCGGCUGGGCACUCUAAAGAAACUGCCCGUGAUAAGCGGGAGGAAGGUGUGGAUGACGUCAAGUCCUCAUGGCCCUUACGGGUUGGGCUACACACGUGCUACAAUGGUAGUGACAAUGGGUUAAUCCCCAAAAACUAUCUCAGUUCGGAUUGGGGUCUGCAACUCGACCCCAUG